AUUCGUUUGUAUUUAAUAAGCAUGAUGAUUGUGUUUUUGCCCUCGUGUGAGGUACACCUCCCUCAAACUUUCUGUUAAGGUCAAUACAUUACCCUUUCUGAUG
RNAcentral lists this small nucleolar RNA (103 nucleotides) under Chlorocebus sabaeus (green monkey). Its description in RNAcentral is "Small nucleolar RNA U13". It matches the Rfam family "Small nucleolar RNA U13". The record is from Rfam by way of RNAcentral. Lineage: Eukaryota; Metazoa; Chordata; Mammalia; Primates; Cercopithecidae.